AAUGAUCAGGAUGAGAUGGUUUGGCUUUUUUUCCACGCCGUCCACUCUCCUGUUCCCUCU
Molecule: microRNA precursor, 60 nt
Filed under: Oreochromis niloticus (Nile tilapia)
Lineage: Eukaryota; Metazoa; Chordata; Actinopteri; Cichliformes; Cichlidae
Description: microRNA oni-mir-6960 precursor
Source: miRBase by way of RNAcentral